GAGUUUGAUCCUGUGCUCAGGACGAACGCUGGCGGCGUGCUUAACACAUGCAAGUCGAACGGUAAGGCCCCAGCUUGCUGGGGUACACGAGUGGCGAACGGGUGAGUAACACGUGGGUGACCUGCCCCGCACUUCGGGAUAAGCCUGGGAAACUGGGUCUAAUACCGGAUAGGACCGCACCGUGAGGGUGUGGUGGAAAGUUUUUCGGUGUGGGAUGGGCCCGCGGCCUAUCACCUUGUUGGUGGGGUAAUGGCCUACCAAGGCGGCGACGGGUAUCCGGCCUGAUAGGGUGGACGGCCACAUUGGGACUGAGACACGGCCCAGACUCCUACGGGAGGCAGCAGUGGGGAAUAUUGCACAAUGGGCGGAAGCCUGAUGCAACGACGCCGCGUGGGGGAUGACGGCCUUCGGGUUGUAAACUCCUUUCACCAUCGAGGAAGGUUUUCUGACGGUAGAUGGAGAAGAAGCACCGGCUAACUACGUGCCACCAGCCGCGGUAAUACAUAGGGUGCGAGCGUAGUCCGGAAUUACUGGGCGUAAAGAGCUCGUACGUGGUUUGUCACAUCGUCUGUGAAAUUCCGGGGCUUAACUCCGGGCGUGCAGGCGAUACUGGCAUAACUUGAGUACUGUANGGGAGACUGGAAUUCCUGGUGUAGCGGUGAAAUGCGCAGAUAUCAGGAGGAACACCGGUGGCGAAGGCGGGUCUCUGGGCAGUAACCGACGCUGAGGAGCGAAGCAUGGGUAGCGAACAGGAUUAGAUACCCUGGUAGUCCAUGCCGUAAACGGUGGGCGCUAGGUGUAGGGGUCUUCCACGACUUCUGUGCCGUAGCUAACGCAUUAAGCGCCCCGCCUGGGGAGUACGGCCGCAAGGCUAAAACUCAAAGGAAUUGACGGGGGCCCGCACAAGCGGCGGAGCAUGUGGAUUAAUUCGAUGCAACGCGAAGAACCUUACCUGGGCUUGACAUAUACGGGACCGGGCCAGAGAUGGUCCUUCCCUUGUGGCUCGUAUACAGGUGGUGCAUGGUUGUCGUCAGCUCGUGUCGUGAGAUGUUGGGUUAAGUCCCGCAACGAGCGCAACCCUUGUCUUAUGUUGCCAGCACGUAAUGGUGGGGACUCGUGAGAAACUGCCGGGGUCAACUCGGAGGAAGGUGGGGAUGACGUCAAAUCAUCAUGCCCCUUAUGUCCAGGGCUUCACACAUGCUAUAAUGGUCGGUACAGUGGGUUGCGAUGCCGUGAGGUGGAGCUAAUCCCUGAAAGCCGGUCUCAGUUCGGAUCGGGGUCAGCAACUCGACGCCGUGAAGUCGGAGUCGCUAGUAAUCGCAGAUCAGCAACGAUGCAGGUGAAUACGUUCCC
Molecule: ribosomal RNA, 1353 nt
Filed under: uncultured bacterium
Lineage: Bacteria
Description: 16S ribosomal RNA
Rfam family: Bacterial small subunit ribosomal RNA
Source: RNAcentral